CGGCCGCGUCGACGGGGAAGAAGGCUCUUGGGUUGUAAACCCCUUUUCUCUGGGAAGAAAGUUGUGAAAGCAACCUGACGGUACCUAACCAGAAAGCCACGGCUAACUACGUGCCAGCAGCCGCGGUAAUACGUAGGUGGCAAGCGUUGUCCGGAAUUAUUGGGCGUAAAGCGCGCGCAGGUGGUCCUUUAAGUCUGAUGUGAAAGCCCACGGCUCAACCGUGGAGGGUCAUUGGAAACUGGGGGACUUGAGUGCAGAAGAGGAAAGUGGAAUUCCAAGUGUAGCGGUGAAAUGCGUAGAGAUUUGGAGGAACACCAGUGGCGAAGGCGACUUUCUGGUCUGUAACUGACACUGAGGCG
Molecule: ribosomal RNA, 359 nt
Filed under: uncultured Bacillus sp.
Lineage: Bacteria; Bacillati; Bacillota; Bacilli; Caryophanales; Bacillaceae
Description: bacterial SSU rRNA
Rfam family: Bacterial small subunit ribosomal RNA
Source: RNAcentral